UCCCAGGUACCUCAGCUGGUAAAGAACCCACCUGCAAUGUGGGAGACCUGGGUUUGAUCCCUAGAUUGGGAA
Molecule: transfer RNA, 72 nt
Filed under: Bos taurus (domestic cattle)
Lineage: Eukaryota; Metazoa; Chordata; Mammalia; Artiodactyla; Bovidae
Also listed under: 2 other names
Rfam family: tRNA
About the family: Transfer RNA (tRNA) molecules are approximately 80 nucleotides in length. Their secondary structure includes four short double-helical elements and three loops (D, anti-codon, and T loops). Further hydrogen bonds mediate the characteristic L-shaped molecular structure. tRNAs have two regions of fundamental functional importance: the anti-codon, which is responsible for specific mRNA codon recognition, and the 3' end, to which the tRNAs corresponding amino acid is attached (by aminoacyl-tRNA synthetases). tRNAs cope with the degeneracy of the genetic code in two manners: having more than one tRNA (with a specific anti-codon) for a particular amino acid; and 'wobble' base-pairing, i.e. permitting non-standard base-pairing at the 3rd anti-codon position.
Source: Rfam by way of RNAcentral